AUUUAUUUAAAUUUGCUGAUAUUCUUAUUAAAAGAGGUGUCAUCAAUGCUAUUAAUCUUGAUGGAGGUGGAUCAAACACUUUACUAGAAGAGGGAACUCUUGUAAACUAUCCUGGUGACUACUGUCAUGAGGAUAAGAAGCUUUACUUAUGUCCAAGGAAAGUAUCAACAGUGUUGUGUGUUCAUGAUGUUGCUAAUGACACUGAUAGUUCUAGUAAUGGUGGUGGUGGUGGUGGGUCUACUCCCUGUGUCUCUCCAUGGUGUGGAGAGAAAUGUGAACUACUGAACUGUGAUGGAACUGAUUGCAAUGGAAAUGGAGUUUGUACUAAUGGAUCUUGUAAGUGUAAAGCAGGAUGGUAUGGUAGUCUCUGUGAGAAAUAUAUGGUCCU
This 388-nucleotide long non-coding RNA is filed under the name Amphimedon queenslandica. RNAcentral describes it as "uncharacterized LOC109589050, transcript variant X2". The record is from RNAcentral. Lineage: Eukaryota; Metazoa; Porifera; Demospongiae; Haplosclerida; Niphatidae.